CCUUUAGCUCAGUGACAGAGUGUCUGCCUUGCAAAGCAGAAAGUCCUAGGUUUAAUACCUGGCAUGCUGGA
Podarcis lilfordi (Lilford's wall lizard) is the source of this 71-nucleotide non-coding RNA. Lineage: Eukaryota; Metazoa; Chordata; Lepidosauria; Squamata; Lacertidae. The record is from the annotation of a GenBank genome assembly.